AUUGAACGCUGGCGGCAGGCCUAACACAUGCAAGUCGAACGAGUGGCGGACGGGUGAGUAAUGUCUGGGAAACUGCCUGAUGGAGGGGGAUAACUACUGGAAACGGUAGCUAAUACCGCAUACCAUCGGAUGUGCCCAGAUGGGAUUAGCUAGUAGGUGGGGUAAAGGCUCACCUAGGCGACGAUCCCUCGCUGGUCUGAGAGGAUGACCAGCCACACUGGAACUGAGACACGGUCCAGACGCCUACGUGAGGCAGCAGUGGGGAAUAUUGCACAAUGGACGAAAGCCUGAUCGAGCAAUGCCGCGUGAGUGAAGAAGGUCUUCGGAUUGUAAAGGACUGUUGGCAGGGAAGCGGUACCCGAAGAAGAAGCAACGGCUAACUACGUGCCAGCAGCCGCGGUAAUAC
Molecule: ribosomal RNA, 406 nt
Filed under: uncultured bacterium
Lineage: Bacteria
Description: partial 16S ribosomal RNA
Rfam family: Bacterial small subunit ribosomal RNA
Source: RNAcentral